RNAcentral lists this ribosomal RNA (1257 nucleotides) under Globulicium hiemale. RNAcentral's name for it is "eukaryotic LSU rRNA". The stretch from base 298 to 1257 matches the Rfam family "Eukaryotic large subunit ribosomal RNA", at positions 1 to 950 of the family's 3401-position model. Lineage: Eukaryota; Fungi; Basidiomycota; Agaricomycetes; Hymenochaetales; Rickenellaceae. The record is from RNAcentral.
AGAUGUGAAUUGCAGAAUUCAGUGAAUCAUCGAAUCUUUGAACGACCUUGCGCUCUUGGUAUUCCGAGGAGCAUGCCUGUUUGAGUGUCAUGAAAUUCUCAACUUCCCGUGUCUUUGCAGACGUGGGAGGCUUGGAUUUGGGGGUUUUUGCUGGCCUUCCCCGGUCGGCUCCCCUUGAAUGCAUUAGCUGGACUUUCCGAUCCGGAGAGGUUCGCGGUGUGAUACAUUAUCUACGCCCCUUAUACCCUCCGACUCUGGCCCGGCUUCCAAUCGUCCUCGGACAAUUCAUUUAUCAUCUGACCUCAAAUCAGGUAGGACUACCCGCUGAACUUAAGCAUAUCAAUAAGCGGAGGAAAAGAAACUAACAAGGAUUCCCCUAGUAACUGCGAGUGAAGCGGGAAAAGCUCAAAUUUAAAAUCUGGCGGUUUCGCCGUCCGAGUUGUAAUCUGGAGAAGCGUUUUCCGUGUUGGACCGUGUACAAGUCUCUUGGAACAGAGCGUCAUAGAGGGUGAGAAUCCCGUCUUUGACACGGACUACCAAUGCUUUGUGAUACGCUCUCGAAGAGUCGAGUUGUUUGGGAAUGCAGCUCAAAAUGGGUGGUAAAUUCCAUCUAAAGCUAAAUAUUGGCGAGAGACCGAUAGCGAACAAGUACCGUGAGGGAAAGAUGAAAAGCACUUUGGAAAGAGAGUUAAACAGUACGUGAAAUUGUUGAAAGGGAAACGCUUGAAGUCAGUCGCGUUGUCCGGGACUCAGCCACGCUUUUGCAUGGUGUACUUCCUGGUUGACGGGCCAACAUCGAUUUUGAUCGGCGGAUAAAGGUGAGAGGAAUGUGGCACCUUCGGGUGUGUUAUAGCCUCUUGCUGGAUGCGUCGGCUGGGAUCGAGGACCGCAGCACGCCUUUUUGGCCGGGGUUCGCCCACGUAACGUGCUUAGGAUGUUGGCAUAAUGGCUUUAAGCGACCNGUCUUGAAACACGGACCAAGGAGUCUAACAUGCCUGCGAGUGUUAGGGUGGAAAACCCUUGCGCGUAAUGAAAGUGAAAGUUGGGACCUCUGUCGCGGAGGGCACCGACGCCCGGCCUUGAACUUCUGUGACGGCGCCGCGGUGGAGCAUGUAUGUUGGGACCCCGAAAGAUGGUGAACUAUGCCUGAAUAGGGCGAAGCCAGAGGAAACUCUGGUGGAGGCUCGUAGCGAUUCUGACGUGCAAAUCGAUCGUCAAAUUUGGUAUAGGGCGAAAGACUAAUCGACCAUCUAGUAG